This 466-nucleotide ribosomal RNA is filed under the name Nocardia sp. RNAcentral describes it as "bacterial SSU rRNA". It matches the Rfam family "Bacterial small subunit ribosomal RNA", at positions 242 to 719 of the family's 1533-position model. Lineage: Bacteria; Bacillati; Actinomycetota; Actinomycetes; Mycobacteriales; Nocardiaceae. The record is from RNAcentral.
CAGCUUGUUGGUGGGGUAACGGCCUACCAAGGCGACGACGGGUAGCCGGCCUGAGAGGGUGAUCGACCACACUGGGACUGAGACACGGCCCAGACUCAUACGGGAGGCAGCAGUGGGGAAUAUUGCACAAUGGGCGGAAGCCUGAUGCAGCGACCCCGCGUGAGGGAUGACGGCCUUCGGGUUGUAAACCUCUUUCGACAGGGACGAAGGGAAAGUGACGGUACCUGUAGAAGAAGCACCGGCUAACUACGUGCCAGCAGCCGCGGUAAUACGUAGGGUGCGAGCGUUGUCCGGAAUUACUGGGCGUAAAGAGCUUGUAGGCGGUCUGUCGCGUCGAUUGUGAAAACUCACGGCUCAACCGUGGGCUUGCAGUCGAUACGGGCAGACUAGAGUACUGCAGGGGAGACUGGAAUUCCUGGUGUAGCGGUGAAAUGCGCAGAUAUUCAGGAGGAACACCGGUGGCGAA